RNAcentral lists this ribosomal RNA (531 nucleotides) under uncultured bacterium. RNAcentral's name for it is "bacterial SSU rRNA". It matches the Rfam family "Bacterial small subunit ribosomal RNA", at positions 979 to 1509 of the family's 1533-position model. The record is from RNAcentral.
CCUUGACAUACUAAGAACUUUCCAGAGAUGGAUUGGUGCCUUCGGGAACUUAGAUACAGGUGCUGCAUGGCUGUCGUCAGCUCGUGUCGUGAGAUGUUGGGUUAAGUCCCGCAACGAGCGCAACCCUUUUUCCUAUUUGCCAGCGGGUAAUGCCGGGAACUUUAAGGAUACUGCCAGUGACAAACUGGAGGAAGGCGGGGACGACGUCAAGUCAUCAUGGCCCUUACGGCCAGGGCUACACACGUGCUACAAUGGUCGGUACAAAGGGUUGCUACCUCGCGAGAGGAUGCUAAUCUCAAAAAGCCGAUCGUAGUCCGGAUCGCAGUCUGCAACUCGACUGCGUGAAGUCGGAAUCGCUAGUAAUCGCGGAUCAGAAUGCCGCGGUGAAUACGUUCCCGGGCCUUGUACACACCGCCCGUCACACCAUGGGAGUUUGUUGCACCAGAAGUAGGUAGUCUAACCGCAAGGAGGACGCUUACCACGGUGUGGCCGAUGACUGAGGUGAAGUCGUAACAAGGUAAGCGUAGAUGA